AGCGAACGCUGGCGGCGUGCCUAACACAUGCAAGUCGAACGUGAACGGGGGCAACCCCUAGUAAAGUGGCGUACGGGUGAGUAACGCGUAGGUAAUCUACCCCAGAGUCUGGAAUAACCUGCCGAAAGGCGGGCUAAUACUGGAUAGAGCGACGGAAUCCGUAAUUGGGUUUUUCGGGAAAGGGAGCCCGCAAGGGCCUUCGCUCUGGGAUGAGCCUGCGUCCCAUCAGCUUGUUGGUGAGGUAAAAGCUUACCAAGGCAAUGACGGGUAGCUGGUCUGAGAGGAUGAUCAGCCACACUGGAACUGAAACACGGUCCAGACUCCUACGGGAGGCAGCAGUGGGGAAUCUUGCGCAAUGGACGAAAGUCUGACGCAGCCACGCCGCGUGAGUGAAGAAGGCCUUCGGGUUGUAAAGCUCUGUCACUCGGGACGAACACCAUCGGAGUUAACAGCUCCGGUGGCUGACGGUACCGAGGGAGGAAGCACCGGCUAACUCCGUGCCAGCAGCCGCAGUAAGAC
RNAcentral lists this ribosomal RNA (519 nucleotides) under uncultured bacterium. RNAcentral's name for it is "bacterial SSU rRNA". It matches the Rfam family "Bacterial small subunit ribosomal RNA", at positions 29 to 526 of the family's 1533-position model. The record is from RNAcentral.